Molecule: ribosomal RNA, 253 nt
Filed under: uncultured bacterium
Lineage: Bacteria
Also listed under: 1 other name
Description: partial 16S ribosomal RNA
Rfam family: Bacterial small subunit ribosomal RNA
Source: RNAcentral
UACGAAGGGGGCUAGCGUUGCUCGGAAUUACUGGGCGUAAAGGGAGCGUAGGCGGGUUAUCAAGUUGGGGGUGAAAGCCCGGGGCUCAACCUCGGAAUUGCCUUCAAAACUGGUAGCCUAGAGUAUGAUAGAGGUAUGUGGAACUCCGAGUGUAGAGGUGAAAUUCGUAGAUAUUCGGAAGAACACCAGUGGCGAAGGCGACAUACUGGGUCAUGACUGACGCUGAGGCUCGAAAGCGUGGGGAGCAAACAGG